Oreochromis aureus is the source of this 464-nucleotide long non-coding RNA. RefSeq lists it as uncharacterized. NCBI's taxonomy places the organism in Eukaryota, Metazoa, Chordata, Actinopteri, Cichliformes, Cichlidae. The record is from RefSeq and is a predicted model, not a curated record. The transcript has 3 exons.
UCCUCUGCAGUAUCCUAUUCAGGGUUAUGUAGUAUAUCCUCUGACACCUUCUCUCACACCAGGUGUUAUUAAGUGUGUCUAAAGGCAUCCUGACAAUAGACAUUUCACAUCAAGAGGCAGUGGUCAAAGAAUCAUAAAAGUCUGUUUUAGGUCGUAAAGUAGCAGAGCAGCCAAAGGUUCGCCAUCGAGCCCCGCCCUCAACAGAGCAAUCGAAGUUACAUUGCCCAGCCUCGCCCCCCUUAGCGCCUCCUUACCACCUUCAUGCUCUGUCUCCGCAGUCUGAUGUGUGAUGUGUGGAGGGUCCGGGCUGCGAGGAUUAUGACAGUGGUGACUUUUCCCAGGAGAAGCUGGGAUCCUGUUUACUAGAAGGUUUUAAAAUUUCUGUACUUUUAGGUGACAGAAGGAGACAUGUGGCCUGGUCAAAACACAGAGAGCUGAACUCUAAAAGAUCUUUAAAUAUAGUA